This 58-nucleotide transfer RNA is filed under the name Smithella sp. Its description in RNAcentral is "tRNA-Leu". It matches the Rfam family "tRNA". Rfam says of the family: Transfer RNA (tRNA) molecules are approximately 80 nucleotides in length. Their secondary structure includes four short double-helical elements and three loops (D, anti-codon, and T loops). Further hydrogen bonds mediate the characteristic L-shaped molecular structure. tRNAs have two regions of fundamental functional importance: the anti-codon, which is responsible for specific mRNA codon recognition, and the 3' end, to which the tRNAs corresponding amino acid is attached (by aminoacyl-tRNA synthetases). tRNAs cope with the degeneracy of the genetic code in two manners: having more than one tRNA (with a specific anti-codon) for a particular amino acid; and 'wobble' base-pairing, i.e. permitting non-standard base-pairing at the 3rd anti-codon position. Lineage: Bacteria; Pseudomonadati; Thermodesulfobacteriota; Syntrophia; Syntrophales; Smithellaceae. The record is from RNAcentral.
GCUGGUGUAGCUCAAUCGGUANNGCAGGUUGCGGGUUCAAGUCCCAUCACCAGCUCCA